RNAcentral lists this ribosomal RNA (465 nucleotides) under Vreelandella stevensii. RNAcentral describes it as "partial 16S ribosomal RNA". It matches the Rfam family "Bacterial small subunit ribosomal RNA", at positions 338 to 795 of the family's 1533-position model. The record is from RNAcentral. Lineage: Bacteria; Pseudomonadati; Pseudomonadota; Gammaproteobacteria; Oceanospirillales; Halomonadaceae.
CCUACGGGAGGCAGCAGUGGGGAAUAUUGGACAAUGGGGGCAACCCUGAUCCAGCCAUGCCGCGUGUGUGAAGAAGGCCCUCGGGUUGUAAAGCACUUUCAGUGAGGAAGAACGCCUGGUGGUUAAUACCCAUCAGGAAAGACAUCACUCACAGAAGAAGCACCGGCUAACUCCGUGCCAGCAGCCGCGGUAGUACGGAGGGUGCGAGCGUUAAUCGGAAUUACUGGGCGUAAAGCGCGCGUAGGUGGCUUGAUAAGCCGGUUGUGAAAGCCCCGGGCUCAACCUGGGAACGGCAUCCGGAACUGUCAAGCUAGAGUGCAGGAGAGGAAGGUAGAAUUCCCGGUGUAGCGGUGAAAUGCGUAGAGAUCGGGAGGAAUACCAGUGGCGAAGGCGGCCUUCUGGACUGACACUGACACUGAGGUGCGAAAGCGUGGGUAGCAAACAGGAUUAGAUACCCUAGUAGUC